Molecule: ribosomal RNA, 230 nt
Filed under: uncultured bacterium
Lineage: Bacteria
Description: partial 16S ribosomal RNA
Rfam family: Bacterial small subunit ribosomal RNA
Source: RNAcentral
CGACGAGUGGCGGACGGGUGAGUAAUGCUUGGGAACUUACCCUUCAGAGGGGGACAAGCACUGGAAACGGUGUCUAAUACCGCAUACGCCCUACGGGGGAAAGGAGCAAUCCGCUGAAGGAGAGGCCCGCGGCAGAUUAGGUAGUUGGUGUGGUAAAAGCACACAAAGCCGAUGAUCUGUAGCUGGUUUGAGAGGAUGAUCAGCCACACUGGAACUGAGACACGGUCCAG